GCCUGGGUAGCUCAGUGGUUGAGCAUCUGCCUUUGGCUCAGGGCGUGAUCCUGGAAUCCUGGGAUCAAGUCCCACAUCAGGCU
Molecule: non-coding RNA, 83 nt
Organism: Canis lupus familiaris (dog)
Lineage: Eukaryota; Metazoa; Chordata; Mammalia; Carnivora; Canidae
Source: Rfam